ACCACCUCUAAAAUGUGUGCUGGAGAGUUCUGUGCAUUUUAAAUUUCUUUUCCUGCACAAUGUAGAGAAUGGUGUUUUUUUUGUUUUUUUUUUUUUUUGCCUUCCUCUUCUUCUUUUUUUUUGUUUUGUUUUGUUUUGGGAUAUGUGUGCAUGUGUGUAUGUGUGUAUCUGUUAAACCAAUACUGUGCCUACAUUUGUUGCUAAACAAUGCCAUGCAUUUAAGUAUUGUUAAGUUUCGUGAAUGAUGCUGUGGGGUUGGCACUUGAUUAAAUGUAAUGAACACAGUAUUGAAGGCUACAGGGUUGAUCACUGUUUUGCCUUUGAUCUCUCAAAUGUGGAGAAGCAACCUUGACAGAGAACGUAAAUACAAUAUAUGGAUUCAAUUUACUCAACCUGUUGAGUAUCAAAGUGCUCGAUCUGUGGAAGUAGAGUCCAAGUGCUGUAACUUAAAUGGUUUUAUUAUUGAAAGCAUAAAGUUUAGAAAUUCAUUAACUUAACUUUAGUCUAUCUAUCACAGUUAUUAACCACCUAUCCUUGGAAUCAAGCCAUGGCUAUGUAUCAUUAGUAUCUGGAAGUAGGUCUUUGCCUCUGUAGGUGAUAGUUGCUGCAUUAGUAUUGUAAAACUGUGUUCUGCCAGGUCUGCCAAGUAAUAGAACUGUUUAUAAUACUACAUUUUUCAUCUCUGAAUGCAUUGAUAAAGAAAAUAAGGACAGUGAUGCUUUAUAUUAUGGUGCAGCUGCAGAGCAUCUGAAGCUAGCAUACAGCAGGGUUUCAUCAAGAAAAAGUCUCUCCUGAGUGGAAUUAUUAAAUACUCGGCAUUAGUCAAACAGUUGAGUCAGACAGGAUUUUAAUCUAUAGCAAUUUCAAAAUCCCCAGAGACUGCUGAUUUGAUUGAGGCUUAAACUGUGAAAGAAAAUGGAAACAAACACAAAACUGAUUUGUGAAGGUCACUUUUUAAAGACCAAAGCUUCUGUUUCUGAUUCUGUGUCUGGAUGUAUUUUGAAGUUUGAAAGCUAAAUGGUUUUGUACAUUUUCUUAGCUUUCUGAUUUUUUUUCUCUCAGUGGAUCGGACCUUGUGUCUGAUUGAGCUGUCCUCAUCCAGGGCUGUGCCUUCGUUUAUAGUGUAGACUCUUGCUUGAGAGGGCUCAUACUUGUCCUUCUGCUUUCGCUUGGCAACCAUGCUUGUCCCCUGGAAACAAGCACAGAAACGUGUGAAGUCUCUAGCCUUCCUUCCCUGCAUUGAAUGAAAUAUUGAGAUAGGUGUCUCAAACAAUAAAUCUUUUUGAUAGUUUCGAUCUGAGAGUGCUAAGAGAUCUUGCUCAUCUGGAAUUAUCAUUUAAAAAUUGUGAAUCCUGGAAGUGAUGUAUUGUAACCUAAAGUAUUUUAUUCAAGAUUACAGUAGUAGCCUUUGUUGUAGGGGUUUAACAUUCUUGAACUGCCAUAUUAUUAAUGUUUUAGAGUCAGGUGACUCCCAGUCAAGUAAAACACACAUCACUAAAGCAGUUGUUGUGCGUUAUUAAAAGUUGCCAUAUUCAGCGCUUUACUCUGAGGUAAUGAUACUCCACAUUUAUCAUAUAGCAGUAUAUCAAUUUUAGCUCUUUGUAAAGAUAUCCUCAUGCCACAGAGAGGAAUAUCAGUGCACUAUUGGCAACCAUAGUUUGAUUUAAAUCUGCUGCAAGAAGAGUUUUUAAAAUGAUGUUUAAAAAAGGAAACAUCUUUGCCCUUGAUUCACUCAUAUUUCCAUCAGAGACACAUUGUAGGAGAUUCUAGGGUAUUGUUCUACAGCUCUGAGCCUCUGCCUGAAAGUGAUAAUCUUUUUGAGUAGAGAAAGAGCUUCUUGGUGACUAAGCUCUGUUGUUACUUUUCUAAGCCUGUUUUCAUUCCAGAAAGCCAUAGUUCCUUUCUGAGACAGAGCAAUGAAAUGUGUGUGCUGCUUUCUGUAACUUGGAGCUAAAGAAACCCUAUAGAUGAGGAGUCGGACUAUUAUGAAUAAUUCUCUGCCUCUCAAAUGGUUUGGAUCCCUAUUGUUCAACGUAUUUUUUAAGAUGUUAGAAGAUGAAAUUCAAGUUAACAAUGUGGAAAAUUUUAGCUCAGCACAAUUAAGAAAAAAAAGUGCCCCACUUGAAGAUGAAGAAAUUGUAAACAGAAGUAGAAGAAGCUGUUGGGAAAGCUUUUUUCUGCUGACACAUUGCUUCUUUGAAUAAAUCUUUGUGUCAACU
Leopardus geoffroyi (Geoffroy's cat) is the source of this 2219-nucleotide long non-coding RNA. RefSeq lists it as uncharacterized. The transcript is spliced from 2 exons. The record is from RefSeq and is a predicted model, not a curated record. Lineage: Eukaryota; Metazoa; Chordata; Mammalia; Carnivora; Felidae.